UAAUUGCUGCUGGCUAGUCUGAAGGAGCUGAGUGAGGGAGCCGAGGGGAAGGGCUGCUCUGUGAGGCAGGAUUUCGUAGAAGCUUCAUCAAUCAAAGCAGAAACCCAACGAUCGUAUUCUCUUUUACUCUGUCAAAAUUGAGUAUAAUUCUCUGUAUAAUGUCCAUUUUGACCAUUUGUCUUGGUGUUUGUCUUCUUGUUGCUUUAGGCGAUGUGCCAUCUCUUCCAUAAUUUGAAUUUCUCCUGCAGUCUGUAUCAACUGGUCAAUAGUAGGGGGGUCUUCUUCCCACAUUUCCUUGUUUUUACCUUUUUAGUGACUACUGUAAUAUUUUAACCAAAUAUGUGUCCAUUUUAUGUCUUAUGCAACACAGGUGUUGUGUUGUACAAGUCAUAGGAAUGUUUAGCCAGUCUUCAUCUGUUAUUUUAUGUUAAGUCAUUGUCUUGUUACUGCAAAGUAAAACAGAGAAGCUACGAUGUUUUGUUUUACUUCUAUUUUUUUUUCUCCAAAUUGAUGUUGCUACCAAGCGUUUUUCCUGCAGAGUCAUUUUCAGUUGUUUUUAUGACUAAAAUUUACUUUGACACCCCCUCUAAUGCCUUCAUAGGUCAUCUAAUCAGUCACCUUACUCCAUGCGUCAUUUGAUCUCAGUAUGAAUCCAGGUGUUCUGCGAAGGUCCCAGAGGUUUAUCAGAGGUUUUGAGAAAUUUGAACAUCUGGUCAAGACUGAGACAGCAGCUUCCAUUACAAAUGUGCUCCAAUCUUUGUCUAUAUUCCGCUAAUGUCGAAAAAUCUCAAUUUUGCAAUUACAAUGUUCCCACUAAAUAAGAUACAUAAUCAAAAUCACACAGGAAUACACUUAACCCUAUGUAUUUGUACAGUUUUAUCUGGUUUGAAAUGAUGACAUUUUUACCUAUGACGUGUUAUUUGCAGAGAUACUUUGACGUAGUAUGUAUCAUUACAUUUUCUAUCACAUCUAAAGCUUUCAGGUCUGGAGAGAACAUGGCGUCCUGUCUGGUCUGUGAAUAACUGCUUUUCAAAUGUCACCUGGUAAGGAAAAGGUUAAACAAAUAAAGAAGUAACUAAAUGAAAAUGUUUGAUCCAGCACAGAGUCCAGUGGAUUUUGAAUAAAUGAUUGAAUUGGUCGUC
This is a long non-coding RNA of Xiphophorus couchianus (Monterrey platyfish), 1142 nucleotides long. RefSeq lists it as uncharacterized. The transcript has 2 exons. Lineage: Eukaryota; Metazoa; Chordata; Actinopteri; Cyprinodontiformes; Poeciliidae. The record is from RefSeq and is a predicted model, not a curated record.